GAGAAAUGAUGAGCAUUUCAGUAUUCUUCAUAUCAUGUGAAGACGUGAGAUCCAACUCUGAGCUCACCACCUAU
Molecule: small nucleolar RNA, 74 nt
Filed under: Octodon degus (degu)
Lineage: Eukaryota; Metazoa; Chordata; Mammalia; Rodentia; Octodontidae
Description: Small nucleolar RNA SNORD19 (ENSODEG00000022346.1)
Source: RNAcentral